AGGAAAACAAGGACGUGCUACUUCACAUUCGUUUACAUCUUGACAAGAUGUACCAUUUCCUGUGAAACCAGCAGGGCAACUUCCACAUCUAAAAUUAAGAAGUUAUUAAAAAGAGAGAUAAUUAAAUCAGGAAGUAUAUCUAUGUUCAGUUACCUAAAAAAUGGUGGAUAAUUAGUAGUAAUACAUUCAACUUCGGUAUAACACGGUCGAGAAUCACAAAUGUUUCUUCUACGUUCACAUCGUUCACCAUUACCGUGAUAUCCGGUCGGACACUUACCACAUCUAAAUCAGGAAAAUGAAUCGGUCAUUCGACUAGAUGCAUCUUGGUUGAUCUUUUUCGAUCGUUAAUCAUCUAUCAUCGUUACCUAUAACCAUGAUGAUGAUCCUCGCAACGUACACCAGGGAAACAUGGAUUGUCUAAACAUGUUGUUAUCUUCAAACAAUUACGACCAUCACCGGUCAUACCUCUCGGACAAGUACCACAAAUUGGUCCUCUCGCUGAAUCCUGACACUGAGCUCCAGGAUAACAUGGCGAUUCGUAGUCACAGGAUACUGGUCGUGGUGUUGUUGAUACUGGAGGAACCAUCACCGCUCAGGAGAGAAAAAUGCUUAAUAACUUGUCGAUUAUAUAAAUCGUCAAACUACACGCAAAUCCCAAAGUGAUACUAUUCAUAACUAUAAUACUGAUAAUCAAAUAGUGUUUUAUGAAUUAUUUUCAUAAAAAAAAAAGAGAAAAAAAGAGAAGCAAAUUAUCAGGUUGUUUGUUACGAUGAAAUAUUAUUUAUGAAAAUAAUCAACUAUUGUUUUAGAAUCAUUUGAAAUCAAAAGAAACGGAUCGUAUCAAUAAUGUUUAUUUAUCAAAUUGGUAUUGACUUUUUUAAGAUACAAAAACGUUCGAUCUUUUAUCUUAAAAUAAAAGAUACAAAUCUAUUUACUA
Vespula vulgaris is the source of this 937-nucleotide long non-coding RNA. RefSeq lists it as uncharacterized. The transcript has 2 exons. NCBI's taxonomy places the organism in Eukaryota, Metazoa, Arthropoda, Insecta, Hymenoptera, Vespidae. The record is from RefSeq and is a predicted model, not a curated record.